RNAcentral lists this small RNA (160 nucleotides) under Arabidopsis thaliana (thale cress). RNAcentral's name for it is "ATSL010410". The record is from RNAcentral. Lineage: Eukaryota; Viridiplantae; Streptophyta; Magnoliopsida; Brassicales; Brassicaceae.
UGGAAAUUCAAACCAAAAAACCAUAUAUCUUUUAAAAGCGGAACCCACACCAAAUUAAAAAUAUUUCUUUCAAUAUGCCUUGAAUCCAACACUUCCACCUGAAAGAUUUACCAUUGGACCAUGAGUACGUUGCAAAUUUCAUAUUGUGUUUCAUUGUGAU